RNAcentral lists this ribosomal RNA (468 nucleotides) under uncultured bacterium. RNAcentral's name for it is "partial 16S ribosomal RNA". It matches the Rfam family "Bacterial small subunit ribosomal RNA", at positions 28 to 507 of the family's 1533-position model. The record is from RNAcentral.
GACGAACGCUGGCGGCGUGCUUAACACAUGCAAGUCGAACGGAAAGGCCCUGCUUUUGUGGGGUGCUCGAGUGGCGAACGGGUGAGUAACACGUGAGUAACCUGCCCUUGAAUUUGGGAUAACUUCAGGAAACUGGGGCUAAUACCGGAUAGGAGCUCCUGCUGCAUGGUGGGGGUUGGAAAGUUUCGGCGGUUGGGGAUGGACUCGAGGCUUAUCAGCUUGUUGGUGGGGUAGUGGCUUACCAAGGCUUUGAAGGGUAGCCGGCCUGAGAAGGUGACCGGCCACAUUGGGCCUGAGAGACGGCCCAGACGCCUACGGGAGGCAGCAGUGGGGAAUAUUGCACAAUGGGGCGAAGCCUGAUGCAGCAACGCCGCGUGCGGGAUGACGGCCUUCGGGUUGUAAACCGCUUUCGCCUGUGACGAAGCGUGAGUGACGGUAAUGGGUAAAGAAGCACCGGCUAACUACGUG